UAACACAUAAACAAAUAAAAUAUUAAAUGAAUAGGCAAUUUAUCCCAAAGUAGUAUAGGUUUUUCCUCCCAAAUAAAUUGAGUCUUUGUCACAGGCAUUUAAAAGAGAGAAGAAUAAUUUCUAUCUCGGCUGCUGUAGGGAAACUACCACUUCCCUGUAAAGAAUUAGACCCAUACUUACCCAUGUUGGCAAUGGAGGAGGAACACCAAAUGGGGGAGGAUGGCGAAACCUGGCCCACCAUGAGUCCCUGUCUCCUGGACAUCCUCACGCGUAACCAGUGGGUGACCACUGUGCAGACAGACGGAGGUGUUAGUGUGUGUGUGUGAAUGAGUGCCUGUGCGGACAGAGGUGGGCACUGUGUGUGUGUGAAUGAGUGUGUGGACAGAGGCAGGCAUUGUGUGUGUGUGUGUGAAUGAAUGGACAGAGGGAGGCGUUGGUGUGUGUGUGUGAAUCUGUGUGCGGACAGAGGGAGGCAUUGGUGUGUGUGUGAAUGAGUGUGUGUGUGGACACAGGGAGGCAUUGGUUGUGUGUGUGGAUGAGUGUGUGUGGACAGAGGGGGGCGUUGGUGUGUGUGUGAAUGAGUGUGCGGACAGGCAGGCAUUGUGUGUGUGUGUGAAUGAGUGUGUGGACAGAGGUGGGCAUUGUGUGUGUGCGUGAAUGUGUGGACAGUGGGAGGUGGUGUGUGUGUGUGAACUAGUGUGCAGAGGGAGGCACUGGUGUGUGUUUGAAUGAGUGUGUGUGCAGACACAGGAGGGUGUUGGUGUGUGUGUUUGAAUGAGUGUGUGUGGACAGAGGCGGGCAUUGUGUGUGUGUGUGUAAAUGAGUGUGUGGACAGAGGGAGGCAUUGGUGUGUGUGUGAAUGAGUGUGUGUGUGGACAGAGGUGGGCGUUGGUGUGUGUGUGUGAAUGAGUGUGUGUGCGGACAGAGGGGGCGUUGUGUGUGUGUGUGAAUGAGUGUGUGUGCGGACAGAGGGGGCGUUGUGUGUGUGUGAAUGAGUAUCUGUGUGGACAGAGGUGGGCGUUGUGUGUAUGUGAAUGAGUGUGUGUGUGGACAGAGGGAGCAUUGUGUGCGUGUGAAUGAGUGUGUGUGCGGACAGAGGGAGCGUUGGUGUGUGUGACUGAGUGUGUGUGUGGACAGAGGGGGCCGUUGGCGUGUGUGUGUGAAUGAGUAUCUGUGUGGACAGAGGUGGGCAUUGGGGGGUGUGUGUGUGAAUGAGUGUGUGUGCAGACAGAGGGAGCGUUGGUGUGUGUGCGAAUGAGUGUGUGCGGACAGAGGGAGCGUUGGUGUGUGGGAGAGAAUGAGUGUGUGUCGUGUAAGUGUAUUUGCGCAGAUGUGUGAGUGUAUGUGAGUGCCCCAAGCGUCGUAACAGAACCUUCCAUCCCUUCCAUUCAAACUCAGCGGUACAGUAGAACCACAGGCUGGUGAUUUGAAUACAGUUUCGGGAAAGGCCAAUGAGUAGCAGAGGACAAUGCCCUCGGCAUGGUGCGCGGAGGUGGCAACCUGACCUGCUGCCCUGUAACUUUAGAAUCCCAGAAGGAACCAGCCCCGCAAAGGCUCUAAAGAAAUAAAGCCUGGGGACUUGGGAUCCCUGGGAGCCCAGAUGGAAGGGGACAAGGUCCCGAGAUACUGUCGUCAGGCAGUCCCUGUCCUGACCUCGCAGGAUGGACACAGGCUGAGUGGCCACCUAGGCCCAGAAACAGAGCUGGCACAGAGUCCUGGAAAGAGCAGGCAUUGGGUGGGGUGUCAAGGGGGCAUUCAAAAAAUUAAUUUUAUGAACCAAAUUCCUUAAAUUGAGCCUCAUGUUGGAAAGCACAUCCCCCCGCACAAAGGUUCAGAGUGUGGGCUUGGGAGAGGGUCAGACAUAGAUUCCAUUCUGUGCCCCAGCAAAUUACAGCCCUCGAAACUUCAGUUUUUUGGUUCAUGCCACAUCCUUACAGGACCAUUUAGAGCCAUGCUGCCAAUGGGAAUAUAAUGUGAACCACACAGGCUCAUCGAUGUUUUCUAGUAGCCACACUAAAGAUAGCAAAAAGACACGGGGAUGUUAAUUUAAUAAUGUGUAUCAUUUACUAGAAGAGACCCAAAGUUUAUCACACCACGUGUAAUGGACGUGAAGAUUAUCCCGUAUGUCUUCUCUUGUUCCCAGUCUUUGAAACCUCAUGUGCAUUUCACACUUAAUGCACGUUGCCAGGGUUUUCAAGAGCUUGGUGACCUCAUGUGGCUGGUGGGAUCAUCGCUGGAAGGAAGAGCUGCCGGGGUUAAAUGAGGUAAUCACUGCAAGCGCCGUGCCUCAGGUUUGGUAAACGUCUAAUACACGCAAGAUU
This 2321-nucleotide long non-coding RNA is filed under the name Homo sapiens (human). RNAcentral's name for it is "HSALNT0117136". The record is from RNAcentral. Lineage: Eukaryota; Metazoa; Chordata; Mammalia; Primates; Hominidae.